AGAGUUUGAUCCUGGCUCAGGACGAACGCUGGCGGCGUGCCUAAUACAUGCAAGUCGAGCGGACCGACGGGAGCUUGCUCCCUUAGGUCAGCGGCGGACGGGUGAGUAACACGUGGGUAACCUGCCUGUAAGACUGGGAUAACUCCGGGAAACCGGGGCUAAUACCGGAUGCUUGAUUGAACCGCAUGGUUCAAUCAUAAAAGGUGGCUUUUAGCUACCACUUACAGAUGGACCCGCGGCGCAUUAGCUAGUUGGUGAGGUAACGGCUCACCAAGGCGACGAUGCGUAGCCGACCUGAGAGGGUGAUCGGCCACACUGGGACUGAGACACGGCCCAGACUCCUACGGGAGGCAGCAGUAGGGAAUCUUCCGUAAUGGACGAAAGUCUGACGGAGCAACGCCGCGUGAGUGAUGAAGGUUUUCGGAUCGUAAAACUCUGUUGUUAGGGAAGAACAAGUACCGUUCGAAUAGGGCGGCACCUUGACGGUACCUAACCAGAAAGCCACGGCUAACUACGUGCCAGCAGCC
This 527-nucleotide ribosomal RNA is filed under the name Bacillus sp. Iranian S1. Its description in RNAcentral is "bacterial SSU rRNA". It matches the Rfam family "Bacterial small subunit ribosomal RNA", at positions 8 to 516 of the family's 1533-position model. The record is from RNAcentral. Lineage: Bacteria; Bacillati; Bacillota; Bacilli; Caryophanales; Bacillaceae.